GGCGAUCAGAUACCGCCCUAGUUCUGACCGUAAACGAUGCCAACUAGCGAUCCGCCAGUCGACUCAUCGCUCUGGUGGGGAGCUUCCCGGAAACGAAAGUCUUCCGGUUCCGGGGGAAGUAUGGUUGCAAAGCUGAAACUUAAAGGAAUUGACGGAAGGGCACCACCAGGAGUGGAGCCUGCGGCUUAAUUUGACUCAACACGGGGAAACUCACCCGGCCCGGACACCGUAAGGAUUGACGGAUUGAUAGCUUUUUCAUGAUUCGGUGGAUGGUGGUGCAUGGCCGUUCUUAGUUCGUGGAGCGAUUUGUCUGGUUUAUUCCGAUAACGAGCGAGACUCUGGCCUACUAAAUAGUUGACGCAUUGCCACUGUGCGCACAACUUCUUAGAGGGAUUUUCGGUGUUUUCAACCGCACGAAAUUGAGCAAUAACAGGUCUGUGAUGCCCUUAGAUGUCCGAGGCUGCACGCGCGCUACACUGGCAAACGCAACGUGCUUGUCCUCCCCCGAAAGGGGUUGGUAAACCGAUGAAAAUUUGCCGUGAUUGGGAUCGGACAUUGCAAUUAUUGUCCGUGAACGAGGAAUCCCUUGUAAGGGCGAGUCAUCAACUCGUCCUGAAUACGUCCCUGCCCUUGUA
RNAcentral lists this ribosomal RNA (635 nucleotides) under Rotylenchulus reniformis. RNAcentral's name for it is "SSU rRNA". It matches the Rfam family "Eukaryotic small subunit ribosomal RNA", at positions 1003 to 1664 of the family's 1831-position model. Lineage: Eukaryota; Metazoa; Nematoda; Chromadorea; Rhabditida; Hoplolaimidae. The record is from RNAcentral.